UCCCUUAUGGCUUAGCUGGUAAAGAAUUCACUUGCAAUGUGGGAGACCCAGGUUUGAUCCCUGGGUUGGGAA
RNAcentral lists this transfer RNA (72 nucleotides) under Ovis aries (sheep). It matches the Rfam family "tRNA". From Rfam's summary of the family: Transfer RNA (tRNA) molecules are approximately 80 nucleotides in length. Lineage: Eukaryota; Metazoa; Chordata; Mammalia; Artiodactyla; Bovidae. The record is from Rfam by way of RNAcentral.